GAAUCUGCCUUCAGGACGGGGAUAACAGGAGGAAACUGCUGCUAAAACCGGAUAUGCCGAGAGGUGAAAGUAUUAAUAGCCUGAAGAGGAGCUCGCGUCUGAUUAGCUAGUUGGUAGGGUAAAAGCGUACCAAGGCGACAAUCAGUAGCUGGUCUGAGAGGACGAUCAGCCACACUGGGACUGAGACACGGCCCAGACUCCUACGGGAGGCAGCAGUGGGGAAUUUUCCGCAAUGGGCGAAAGCCUGACGGAGCAAGACCGCGUGGGGGAAGAAGGCUCUUGGGUUGUAAACCCCUUUUCUCUGGGAAGAAAGUUGUGAAAGCAACCUGACGGUACCAGAGGAAUCAGCAUCGGCUAACUCCGUGCCGGCAGCCGCGGUAAGACGGAGGAUGCAAGCGUUAUCCGGAAUGAUUGGGCGUAAAGCGUCCGCAGGUGGCAGUUCAAGUCUGCUGUCAAAGACCGGGGCUUAACUUCGGAAAGGCAGUGGAAACUGAACAGCUAGAGUAUGGUAGGGGCAGAGGGAAUUCCUGGUGUAGCGGUGAAAUGCGUAGAGAUCAGGAAGAACAUCGGUGGCGAAGGCGCUCUGCUGGACCAUAACUGACACUCAGGGACGAAAGCUAGGGGAGCG
Molecule: ribosomal RNA, 628 nt
Filed under: uncultured cyanobacterium
Lineage: Bacteria; Bacillati; Cyanobacteriota
Description: bacterial SSU rRNA
Rfam family: Bacterial small subunit ribosomal RNA
Source: RNAcentral